This 253-nucleotide ribosomal RNA is filed under the name uncultured bacterium. RNAcentral describes it as "partial 16S ribosomal RNA". It matches the Rfam family "Bacterial small subunit ribosomal RNA", at positions 524 to 776 of the family's 1533-position model. The record is from RNAcentral.
UACAGAGGUCCCAAGCGUUGUUCGGAUUCACUGGGCGUAAAGGGUGCGUAGGUGGUGAGGUAAGUCGGAUGUGAAAGCUCGGAGCUCAACUCCGAAAUGGCAUUGGAAACUACCUUGCUCGAGGGUUGGAGGGGGGACUGGAAUUCUCGGUGUAGCAGUGAAAUGCGUAGAUAUCGAGAGGAACACCAGUGGCGAAGGCGAGUCCCUGGACAACUCCUGACACUGAGGCACGAAAGCUGGGGGAGCAAACGGG